Small nuclear RNA from Octodon degus (degu), 103 nucleotides. NCBI's taxonomy places the organism in Eukaryota, Metazoa, Chordata, Mammalia, Rodentia, Octodontidae. The record is from Ensembl.
GUGCUGAAAUGCAGCACAUACACUAAAGUGGAAUGAUAAAGAGAAGAUCGGCGUGGACCCAGCCAAGGAUGACAUGUUAGCUCAGAAAGCAUUCCAUAGUUUU